GUGCCAGCCGCUGCGGUAAUACGUAGGGCGCAAGCGUUGUCCGGAAUUAUUGGGCGUAAAGAGCUCGUAGGCGGUCUGUCGCGUCUGCUGUGAAAUCCCGAGGCUCAACCUCGGGCUUGCAGUGGGUACGGGCAGACUAGAGUGCGGUAGGGAGACUGGAAUUCCUGGUGUAGCGGUGGAAUGCGCAGAUAUCAGGAGGAACACCGAUGGCGAAGGCAGGUCUCUGGGCCGCAACUGACGCUGAGGAGCGAAAGCAGUGGGAGCGAACAGGAUUAAGAUACCCUGGUAGUCCAUGCCGUAAACGUUGGGCACGUAGGUGUGGGCUCGA
RNAcentral lists this ribosomal RNA (328 nucleotides) under uncultured Cellulosimicrobium sp. RNAcentral's name for it is "bacterial SSU rRNA". It matches the Rfam family "Bacterial small subunit ribosomal RNA", at positions 505 to 831 of the family's 1533-position model. The record is from RNAcentral. Lineage: Bacteria; Bacillati; Actinomycetota; Actinomycetes; Micrococcales; Promicromonosporaceae.